This 497-nucleotide ribosomal RNA is filed under the name uncultured bacterium. Its description in RNAcentral is "partial 16S ribosomal RNA". It matches the Rfam family "Bacterial small subunit ribosomal RNA", at positions 28 to 507 of the family's 1533-position model. The record is from RNAcentral.
GAUGAACGCUGGCGGCGUGCCUAAUACAUGCAAGUCGAGCGAACAGACGAGGAGCUUGCUCCUCUGACGUUAGCGGCGGACGGGUGAGUAACACGUGGAUAACCUACCUAUAAGACUGGGAUAAAUUCGGGAAACCGGAGCUAAUACCGGAUAAUAUAUUGAACCGCAUGGUUCAAUAGUGAAAGACGGUUUUGCUGUCACUUAUAGAUGGAUCCGCGCCGCAUUAGCUAGUUGGUAAGGUAACGGCUUACCAAGGCGACGAUGCGUAGCCGACCUGAGAGGGUGAUCGGCCACACUGGAACUGAGACACGGUCCAGACUCCUACGGGAGGCAGCAGUAGGGAAUCUUCCGCAAUGGGCGAAAGCUUGACGGAGCAACGCCGCGUGAGUGAUGAAGGUCUUCGGAUCGUAAAACUCUGUUAUUAGGGAAGAACAAAAGUGUAAGUAACUAUGCACGUCUUGACGGUACCUAAUCAGAAAGCCACGGCUAACUACGUG